RNAcentral lists this ribosomal RNA (305 nucleotides) under uncultured bacterium. Its description in RNAcentral is "partial 16S ribosomal RNA". It matches the Rfam family "Bacterial small subunit ribosomal RNA", at positions 506 to 807 of the family's 1533-position model. The record is from RNAcentral.
ACAGCAGCAGCCACGGUAAUACGGAGGGUGCAAGCGUUAUCCGGAUUCACUGGGUUUAAAGGGUGCGUAGGCGGAUCUGUAAGUCAGUGGUGAAAUCUCCAGGCUUAACCUGGAAACUGCCGUUGAUACUAUAGGUCUUGAAUUUUGUGGAGGUUAGCGGAAUAUGUCAUGUAGCGGUGAAAUGCAUAGAUAUGACAUAGAACACCAAUUGCGAAGGCAGCUGGCUACACAACUAUUGACGCUGAGGCACGAAAGCGUGGGGAUCAAACAGGAUUAGAUACCCCCGUAGUCCCUGUCUCUUAUAC